AAAAGAUCUUUAAUUUGACCAUUAAUGACAUGAGAUUUGUAUAAAAUUUAAAAAAAAGGAAAAGAGUGGACAUCCUAUUAGAAAAAAAUGGUAAAUGGGAUGUACAAACAAUGAUUACAGUUAAAUAAUAUGGUCCCGAAGAAUCACAUUCUCUCCCUUCACAGACGCGAACAACCUGAUGGUGAUACAUUGGCAGAUUGGUGACUCUCUCCAAAUACCAAAAUCAGCAACGGCCCAGGCAAAUCUGCAUCUUAUUCAGCCAAAGCUUCUCAAUUUCAUUAAUAAACCAGGACAAAUUAAUAUCAACUGUCAUCAACGUAAUCUGCUAUUGACUAAUAUUUCCAAUACCAAAUCAUUCCAAGAGUCUAUCGGCCCCGGCAAGCACCAAUGUAAGCAAUCAUUCUGAACUUUGGCAUUCUUAUCCUUCGAAAAUGGCUGAAACUGCCUGUACGGUCCAGGAUGCCCAUCCGGCCUUAACAAAGAUAGACGAGUUGUAUCAAGCAGUUUCAAAGUCACCCCCUUUUCAGAUCCCAAUGCAGCAGCCUUGUCAAAUUCUUCCAGUUCGAUAUUACGCAUUGUUUCAUCUACAUCUCUCAUAUCAAUCUCGCCUUCUUUGAAGGGCACUUUUCUUUUGCAAGUGCCUCCACUAAACCAUUCUCCAUUCUCAAAGUGAUCUGGAGUGGUGGUUCUAAAGAAAAUAAAAGCUCUGUGAUCAGAUCUUGCAAUGAAGUCAAAUAUCAACCGUAGUACUUUUCUGUAUGCAUAGUCAAAUCCUAGCUCUGUCAAGUUCUUUCCAGGGCAGUAAUGGCAGCCUGUAACACUGUUGUUCUCAAGAUAUAUUGCAGUUUUGAGAAACCAUUUGCCACCAGCAAUUACAGCAUAAUCAAAGUUCCUAUAUUGAUCAAUCCAUUUAUUAUCAAGUACAUCUAGAUGAAGCUGGAUUUCUGAAGACGAAACUCCAUUCAUAUCUUCAAAUAUAUCUGCCUUUGUGAGGAAUGGAGUCCAAAUGACUGAAAGAGUGAAGUUGUGACCUGGAAAGUGCCAUAUUUUCGAUCUAUAUUCCUCGUCAUGAUACACCUCAUCAGCUUGUUCCACCUAUGGGACAUAAUAACUAAAACAACCGAUCAAUUGCUGUCCAAGGGACCACAUUUUUGUAAAUAUUGUGACAUUCUGAUAGGUCACAAAGCAUCCACAGAAUUUCAUUGAAUAUGCAAGCAAUGGGUGCCACUCUGGGGCCUAAGACGUUUACUUAUUCCUUGCUCAGCUUAUCAGGUUGCUGCUUGGGACCCAAAUCUUGUCUUUUUUCAAUAAUUUAAGUGGAAUCAUUUCUCCAAAAACAAUAUAUUAUUUUAUAGAAACUUGGAGUUACAGAUCCGUAUAAUAGCUCAAGUAGUAAAAUUUACCACUUAACAUUGAUACAAAUAAUUACACGUAGUAGCCAACAAGGAUUAUAUAUAAAGUUCCUGAGAAGACAUAAAGAUAAAAAUGAGCAUUAAAAUCUCUUUGGUUUCUGGUAGGUACACCAGCUUGGAAAGAGACACGAGAACCUCCUAGAAGCAGUAAACUAACCAGCUGUAUUCCACAACUAAAUCAAGGUUGAUGGUUGAUUAAGAAUCUCUAUAUGAUAGCAUAUUGAAAAAGGAAUCUGAAUUUAAAUGGAGAAAUUCAUUGCAAAAGCUAUUCAAAAUCUAUCCCCACUUUUAGCCAAUAAACCUCAAAGGAGUAAUCAGAACCUUCACCAGCAUCCUUGGAGAAGUUUAUGUAGAACUAAUGUUGAGAGCUUAAGAUCUCUAAGAGCUCUUAAAAAGAGCAAGUUUCUUAAUCAUGAGAUGGCACAGAAAUCUCCAACUCCCCACUACAUCAGUUCAGAGCAUAAAGAAGCCGAUUUUGUUUUCACAGGGAAAGAUGGCUAAAUUAAACCUUUUUUUUUUUUCUUUUCAAACGAAACUUGGCUUCUACUCAAAAUCCAGUCUUUAGACUUUUUUUCCUUUGUUCAUUUGACUCCAACCAAGACUCUAAUUCAAGAUUUUAUAAUCCUAGAGACAACUUCAGUAACGUUGAGCUAGUGCAUUAGUGAAAACAAUCUUUAGAUUUUAGAGUAUUCAAAUAGCACAAUGCACUGAUUGAUGAUUGCAGGAAAUCAGUACACCUAACCAAUGAAAUUUUGGAAACGAAAAACCAUUAAAGCAAGCGUUUGAAUUUUUGGCAUAGAUUUUAAAAUUCAAAGGGGCUAAGCAUAUAGGAAGUUUCUUUAAACUUGGGAGCUUUACCUGAGAGAGAAUGCAAAGUAACGACUGCACGUGGUUACGCGAAAUGGAAUCACCAAUAAAGGCCCAGGAUUUGUCCCUCAUCAAAUCAAGAAAUUUCUUUGGAUUGAACAUGGGUAGAUCACACCCCUGUGGAUUCCACCUCCAGUAGAGGUACCCUGAAUCAGCCCGUCCAUUUUUCAUGCAGUUUUGAUGACCUUCGAUUGCCAGGCAACUCCGAUUAUCGUAUAAUGGACCUGAAGGGUCCGGUAUCCAAUGUCCAGUAAAUAAGUCACAUUCUCCAGUCUCUGAAAUUUGUGUUGUAUUAGCCGCAGAAUCAUUAGAAACUGCUGUUUGAUUUUCAUUUGCCGCAAAAUCAAUAGCACCCGGCUCUUCCUCUUCAAUAGGCAGAGUAUUAGCCUCUGGAGACUCUGUUUUAGUCAUCUGUUCAAUGGAUGGUGUCUCUACAACUGAUGAGAAUCUGAUUGAAUCAGAGACUAACAGACGAAAAGCAAGACCUAUCAAAAGAAAUGAGACUGCAAACUUUACAAAGACAUGAUUGUGUUUAGUUAAGGAAAAUGGGUUGGAAUCAGACCACAUUUCCUUCACCAUAUGGUAUGAGACGGAGAAAGAAAGACUCUUGAUGUGAAGAGAGAGAGAGAGAGAGAGA
This 2916-nucleotide unclassified non-coding RNA is filed under the name Hevea brasiliensis (rubber tree). Lineage: Eukaryota; Viridiplantae; Streptophyta; Magnoliopsida; Malpighiales; Euphorbiaceae. The record is from RNAcentral.